Molecule: ribosomal RNA, 496 nt
Filed under: uncultured Flavobacterium sp.
Lineage: Bacteria; Pseudomonadati; Bacteroidota; Flavobacteriia; Flavobacteriales; Flavobacteriaceae
Description: partial 16S ribosomal RNA
Source: RNAcentral
CACGGAGUUAGCCGAUCCUUAUUCUUACGAUACCGUCAAGCUCCUUCACGAAGGAGUGUUUCUUCUCGUAUAAAAGCAGUUUACAAUCCAUAGGACCGUCAUCCUGCACGCGGCAUGGCUGGAUCAGGCUUGCGCCCAUUGUCCAAUAUUCCUCACUGCUGCCUCCCGUAGGAGUCUGGUCCGUGUCUCAGUACCAGUGUGGGGGAUCUCCCUCUCAGGACCCCUACCCAUCGUUGCCUUGGUAAGCCGUUACCUUACCAACAAGCUAAUGGGACGCAUGCUCAUCUUUCACCGUUGUGACUUUAAUAGUGGUUUCAUGCGAAACUGCUAUACUAUGAGGUAUUAAUCCAAAUUUCUCUGGGCUAUCCCUCUGUGAAAGGUAGAUUGCAUACGCGUUACGCACCCGUGCGCCGGUCUCUAGGUCCGAAAACCUAUACCCCUCGACUUGCAUGUGUUAAGCCUGCCGCUAGCGUUCAUCCUGAGCCAGGAUCAAACU